RNAcentral lists this ribosomal RNA (497 nucleotides) under uncultured bacterium. RNAcentral's name for it is "partial 16S ribosomal RNA". It matches the Rfam family "Bacterial small subunit ribosomal RNA", at positions 28 to 507 of the family's 1533-position model. The record is from RNAcentral.
GAUGAACGCUGGCGGCGUGCCUAAUACAUGCAAGUCGAACGGACGGACGAUAAGCUUGCUUCUCUGAUGUUAGCGGCAGGCGGGUGAGUAACGCGUGGAUCACCUCCCUAUAAUUCUGGGAUAACUUCGUGACACCGGCUCUAAUACCAGAUAAUAUUUUGAACCGCAUGGUUCAAAAGUGAAAGACGGUCUUGCUGUCACUUAUCGAUGGAUCCGCGCUGCAUUAGCUAGUUGGUAAGGUCACGGCUUACCAAGGCAACGAUGCAUAGCCGACCUGAGAGGCGGAUCGGCCACACGGGAACGGAGACACGGACAAGACUCCUACGGGAGGCAGCAGUAGGGAAUCUUCCGCAAUGGGCGAAAGCCUGACGGAGCAACGGCGCGUGAGUGAUGAAGGUCUUCGGAUCGUAAAGCCCUGUUAUUGGGGAAGAACAGAUGUGGAAGGAAACGAGGACAUCUUGACGGUACCGAAUAAGAAAGCACCGGCUAACUACGUG